GAUGAACGCUGGCGGCGUGCCUAACACAUGCAAGUCGAACGAACGGACGAUAAGCUUGUGCCUCUGAUGUUAGCGGCGGACGGGUGAGUCACAAGUGGAUCACCUACCUCUAUGUCUGGGGUGACUUCGGGAAAACGGAGAUGAUACCAGAUCAUAUUUUGAACGGGUUGGUUCAAAGGAUAAAGGCGGCCUUGCCGUCUCUAAUAGCUGAUUCCGGGCUGGAUUAGCUAGUUGGUAAGGUAACGGCUUACCAAGGCGACGAUGCGUAGCCGACCUGAGAGGAUGAUCGGCCACACUGGAACUGAGACACGGUCCAGACUCCUACGGGAGGCAGCAGUAGGGAAUCUUCCGCAAAGGGCGAAAGCCUGACGGAGCAACGCCGCGUGAGUGAUGAAGGUCUUCGGAUCGUAAAACUCUGUUAUUAGGGAAGAACAUCUGUGUAUGAAAAUGUGCCCAUCUUGACGGUACCUAAUCAGAAAGCAACGGCUAACUACGUG
Molecule: ribosomal RNA, 497 nt
Filed under: uncultured bacterium
Lineage: Bacteria
Description: partial 16S ribosomal RNA
Rfam family: Bacterial small subunit ribosomal RNA
Source: RNAcentral